RNAcentral lists this ribosomal RNA (434 nucleotides) under uncultured Lachnospiraceae bacterium. RNAcentral's name for it is "partial 16S ribosomal RNA". It matches the Rfam family "Bacterial small subunit ribosomal RNA", at positions 341 to 792 of the family's 1533-position model. Lineage: Bacteria; Bacillati; Bacillota; Clostridia; Lachnospirales; Lachnospiraceae. The record is from RNAcentral.
ACGGAAGGCAGCAGUGGGGAAUAUUGCACAAUGGGCGAAAGCCUGAUGCAGCGACGCCGCGUGAGUGAAGAAGUAUCUCGGUAUGUAAAGCUCUAUCAGCAGGGAAGAAAAUGACGGUACCUGACUAAGAAGCCCCGGCUAACUACGUGCCAGCAGCCGCGGUAAUACGUAGGGGGCAAGCGUUAUCCGGAUUUACUGGGUGUAAAGGGAGCGUAGACGGUUUGGCAAGUCUGAAGUGAAAUGCGGGGGCUCAACUCCUGAACUGCUUUGGAAACUGUCGAACUAGAGUGCAGGAGAGGUAAGUGGAAUUCCUAGUGUAGCGGUGAAAUGCGUAGAUAUUAGGAGGAACACCAGUGGCGAAGGCGGCUUACUGGACUGUAACUGACGUUGAGGCUCGAAAGCGUGGGGAGCAAACAGGGUUAGAUACCCUGGUA